Molecule: non-coding RNA, 115 nt
Organism: Acanthosepion pharaonis
Lineage: Eukaryota; Metazoa; Mollusca; Cephalopoda; Sepiida; Sepiidae
Source: the annotation of a GenBank genome assembly
UUACGGCUACAUCAAGGUUGAAACACCGAUUCUCGUAUGAUCACUGAAGUUAAGCAACGUCGAGUCUGCUCAGUAACUAGAUGGGUAAACACUUGGGAAUACUAGGUGCUGUAAG